This 406-nucleotide ribosomal RNA is filed under the name uncultured bacterium. RNAcentral's name for it is "partial 16S ribosomal RNA". It matches the Rfam family "Bacterial small subunit ribosomal RNA", at positions 30 to 526 of the family's 1533-position model. The record is from RNAcentral.
AUUGAACGCUGGCGGCAGGCCUAACACAUGCAAGUCGAACGAGUGGCGGACGGGAGAGUAAUGUCUGGGAAACGGCCUGAUGGAGAGGGAUAACUACUGGAAACUGUAGAUAAUACCGCAUACCAUCAGCUGUGCCCAAGUGGGAUUAGCUUGUUGGUGGGGUAAAGGCUCACCAAGAAGACGAUCCCUCGCUGGUCGGAGAGGAUGACCAGCCACCCGGGAACUGAGACACGUGCCAGACUCCUACGGGAGGCAGCAGUGGGGAAUAUUGCACAAUGGGCGCAAGCCUGAUGCAGGCAUGCGGCGUGUAUGAAGAAGGCCUUCGGGUUGUAAAGUACUUUCAGCUGGGAGGCGUUACCAGCAGAAGAAGCACCGGCUAACUCCGUGCCAGCAGCCGCGGUAAUUC